UGAGUAACACGUAUCCAACCUGCCGUCUACUCUUGGACAGCCUUCUGAAAGGAAGAUUAAUACAAGAUGGCAUCAUGAGUUCACAUGUUCACAUGAUUAAAGGUAUUUCGGUAGACGAUGGGGAUGCGUUCCAUUAGAUAGUAGGCGGGGUAACGGCCCACCUAGUCUUCGAUGGAUAGGGGUUCUGAGAGGAAGGUCCCCCACAUUGGAACUGAGACACGGUCCAA
This 227-nucleotide ribosomal RNA is filed under the name uncultured bacterium. Its description in RNAcentral is "partial 16S ribosomal RNA". It matches the Rfam family "Bacterial small subunit ribosomal RNA", at positions 107 to 334 of the family's 1533-position model. The record is from RNAcentral.